RNAcentral lists this long non-coding RNA (338 nucleotides) under Lactuca sativa (garden lettuce). Its description in RNAcentral is "long non-coding RNA (LSAT_LNC007550)". Lineage: Eukaryota; Viridiplantae; Streptophyta; Magnoliopsida; Asterales; Asteraceae. The record is from RNAcentral.
AUUAUAUUUGGUCAAUGGGGAUUACAACUAUUUUUUUAACAAAUAAAUGAUUUUAUUAGAAAAAAUAGCUAAUAGCUAACAAUUAAUUACAUAUGAAUAGACAAAAUUGGAUUUAACAUCCAAGGGACACGACUUACACUAAUCCUAUUCCAAUCAACAAACAAAGUAUAAAAGUAGUCUAUCAAUCUAUCUGUUGGGACAAAAAUAUGGUUUAUACUUUACUUUUCUAGAAAAAUGUAUUUUUGUGUCUUCGACCGUAAACAACUUGGUGUUUACGGCCGUAAACCCAUUUACGGCCCAUGUUCACCAAGCCUAUAUUCUCCAAGUAUAAAUAUAGG